Molecule: ribosomal RNA, 253 nt
Filed under: uncultured bacterium
Lineage: Bacteria
Description: partial 16S ribosomal RNA
Rfam family: Bacterial small subunit ribosomal RNA
Source: RNAcentral
UACGUAGGGGGCAAGCGUUGUCCGGAUUCAUUGGGCGUAAAGAGCGUGUAGGCGGCCUGGAAGGUCAGCUGUGAAAACUCGAGGCUCAACCUCGAGACGUCGGUUGAAACCACCUGGCUAGAGUCCGGAAGAGGAGUGUGGAAUUCCCGGUGUAGCGGUGAAAUGCGUAGAUAUCUGGAGGAAUACCGGUGGCGAAGGCGGCAUCCUGGACCGGCAUUGACGCUGAUGAGCGAAAGCUAGGGGAGCAAACGGG